AUCUAUCAACCCAACUGAGAUGUAAUCUUGUGUUUGGUGCUUGGAUCAUGAAGGUUGCUGGAGUCAUCAUCAGCUCCUUUUAAAUGCAUUAGCAGAACUUUGUAUCAGCUUUGGUUUGAUAAUAAUUUUAUCUGAGCCAUUGCUGAUAAACAAUAGUUUAGCUUCCAAUUGUCUCACUGAGACUGUCCAAUCUUUGGGCAUUAUUUUG
This 208-nucleotide unclassified non-coding RNA is filed under the name Hodophilus foetens. RNAcentral describes it as "internal transcribe spacer 2". Lineage: Eukaryota; Fungi; Basidiomycota; Agaricomycetes; Agaricales; Clavariaceae. The record is from RNAcentral.